Molecule: non-coding RNA, 71 nt
Organism: Stegodyphus mimosarum
Lineage: Eukaryota; Metazoa; Arthropoda; Arachnida; Araneae; Eresidae
Source: Rfam
GCCUUUGUGGUGUAAUGGUAGCACACUUGGCACAUAUUCAAGAGGUCCAGGUUCGAGUCCCAGCAAGGGCA